CCUACGGGAUGCACCAGUUGGGAAUAUUGGGCAAUGGGCGGAAGCCUGACCCAGCGACGCCGCGUGAGGGAAGAAGGCCUUUGGGUCGUAAACCUCUGUUGUAUGGGAAGAAGGAAGUGACGGUACCCGAGGAGGAAGCCCCGGCUAACUACGUGCCAGCAGCCGCGGUAAUACGUAGGGGGCGAGCGUUGUCCGGAAUGACUGGGCGUAAAGGGCUCGUAGGCGGUAACUCAAGUCAGUUGUGAAAACCGACGGCUUAACCGGAGGAUUGCAGUUGAUACUGGGUUACUUGAGGCAAGGAGAGGUAGGCGGAAUUCCCGGUGUAGCGGUGAAAUGCGUAGAUAUCGGGAAGAACACCAGUGGCGAAGGCGGCUGACUGGACUGACCCUGACGCUGAGGUGCGAAAGCGUGGGUAGCAAACAGGAUUAGAUACCCCUGUA
RNAcentral lists this ribosomal RNA (440 nucleotides) under uncultured bacterium. RNAcentral's name for it is "bacterial SSU rRNA". It matches the Rfam family "Bacterial small subunit ribosomal RNA", at positions 338 to 792 of the family's 1533-position model. The record is from RNAcentral.